Molecule: ribosomal RNA, 496 nt
Filed under: uncultured bacterium
Lineage: Bacteria
Description: partial 16S ribosomal RNA
Rfam family: Bacterial small subunit ribosomal RNA
Source: RNAcentral
ACUCAAAUGAAUAGACGGGGGCCCGCACAAGCGGUGGAGUAUGUGGCUUAAUUCGAUGCAACGCGAAGAACCUUACCAGGCCUUGACAUGCAUUAGACCGCGCCUGAAAGGGCGCUUUCCUUCGGGACUGGUGCACAGGUGCUGCAUGGCUGUCGUCAGCUCGUGUCGUGAGAUGUUGCGUUAAGUCGCGCAACGAGCGCAACCCCUGUCUUUAGUUGCCAUCAUUAAGUUGGGCACUCUAAAGAGACAAACCCUCUCUGAGGGUGGGAAGGUGGGGAUGACGUCAAGUCAGGAUGGCCCUUACGGCCUGGGCUGCACACGUACUACAAUGCUCGGUACAGAGGGAUGCAAUACCGCGAGGUGGAGCAAAUCCUCAAAACCGAGCCCAGUUCAGAUUGUAGUCUGCAACUCGACUACAUGAAGUUGGAAUCGCUAGUAAUGGCGCAUCAGCUACGGCGCCGUGAAUACGUUCCCGGGCCUUGCACACACCGCCCGU